Molecule: ribosomal RNA, 208 nt
Filed under: uncultured bacterium
Lineage: Bacteria
Description: partial 16S ribosomal RNA
Rfam family: Bacterial small subunit ribosomal RNA
Source: RNAcentral
CACGUAGGCGGCUUGGCAAGUCGGAUGUGAAAUCCCUCGGCUCAACCAAGGAAGUGCAUCCGAAACUGCUGAGCUUGAGUACUUAAGAGGAUCGCGGAAUUCCCGGUGUAGAGGUGAAAUUCGUAGAUAUCGGGAGGAACACCAGUGGCGAAGGCGACUUACUGGACUGUAACUGACACUGAAGUACGAAAGCGUGGGGAAGCAAACA